RNAcentral lists this ribosomal RNA (481 nucleotides) under uncultured bacterium. RNAcentral's name for it is "bacterial SSU rRNA". It matches the Rfam family "Bacterial small subunit ribosomal RNA", at positions 416 to 896 of the family's 1533-position model. The record is from RNAcentral.
CUUCUGAUUGUAAAGUUCUUUUAUUUGGAAAAAAAGCGUGCUAGGAAAUGAGCGCGCCUUGAUGGUACUAAUUGAAUAAGUGACAGCUAACUAUGUGCCAGCAGCUGCGGUAAAACAUAGGUCACGAGCAUUAUCCGGAUUUAUUGGGCGUAAAGGAAGCGUAGGCGGGGAGGUUGAUCCAUUGUUAAAAGCAUUUGCUUAACAAAUGUGUGCAUUGGAGAUCGCCUCCCUAGUGUUAAUCAGGGGGUACUGGAAUUCAAUGUGUAGCGGUGGAAUGCGUAGAUAUAUUGAGGAACACCAGAGGCUAAGGCGAGUACCUAGGAUAUAACUGACGCUGAGGCUUGAAAGCGUGGGGAGCAAAUGGGAUUAGAUACCCCAGUAGUCCACGCCGUAAACGAUGAGCAUUGGGCAUUUGACAUCUGGUCGAGUGCUGUAGCUAACGCGUUAAAUGCUCCGCCUGGGUAGUAUAUAUGCAAAUAUG